GCGCCGUGUCCGUAGUAGCGCCUCAGGUGCGCGCACCCAGGAGGGAUGCGCGAGGGCCGGUUAGCUCAGUUGGUUAGAGCGUGGUGCUAAUAACGCCAAGUGGCGGAUGGCAACACGGAAGCGAACGCGGUGGCCCCCGGCGGGAAGCUUGACUUAGGCGAUCAGGCGGCGACAGCGACCUUGAGCCGACGCGGGACAUGUCCCCACGCCGCCCGGGCGCAGGGACAGCCGGCACCCGCAGCUCAGGAACCCGCGACAGGAAUCCUCAUUUCAAUGCCAAGAUCAGAUGGAACAAAUAUGUAUGUAAGAAGGUGAAGCUCCUUCAGUACUCACCGUCCUCUCCGAAGCUGCUGCCAUAGCUUUUCCUCUGGCGUGAAGGAGUCAUGGCGGUGCUUUUUCACAAUGGGAAUGUAA
This is a long non-coding RNA of Lepidothrix coronata (blue-crowned manakin), 414 nucleotides long. RefSeq lists it as uncharacterized. The record is from RefSeq and is a predicted model, not a curated record. The transcript is spliced from 4 exons. Lineage: Eukaryota; Metazoa; Chordata; Aves; Passeriformes; Pipridae.